RNAcentral lists this ribosomal RNA (207 nucleotides) under uncultured bacterium. RNAcentral describes it as "partial 16S ribosomal RNA". It matches the Rfam family "Bacterial small subunit ribosomal RNA", at positions 568 to 774 of the family's 1533-position model. The record is from RNAcentral.
UGCGCAGGCGGUUAUAUAAGACAGAUGUGAAAUCCCCGGGCUCAACCUGGGAACUGCAUCCGAUACUGGAUGGCUUGAAUUCGGGAGAGGGAUGCAGAAUUCCAGGUGUAGCGGUGAAAUGCGUAGAUAUCUGGAGGAAUACCGGUGGCGAAGGCGGCAUCCUGGACCGACAUUGACGCUGAGGAGCGAAAGCCAGGGGAGCAAACG